This 394-nucleotide ribosomal RNA is filed under the name uncultured cyanobacterium. RNAcentral describes it as "bacterial SSU rRNA". It matches the Rfam family "Bacterial small subunit ribosomal RNA", at positions 356 to 765 of the family's 1533-position model. The record is from RNAcentral. Lineage: Bacteria; Bacillati; Cyanobacteriota.
GGGGAAUUUUCCGCAAUGGGCGAAAGCCUGACGGAGCAAUACCGCGUGAGGGAUGACGGCCUAUGGGUUGUAAACCUCUUUUCUCAAGGAAGAAGAUCUGACGGUACUUGAGGAAUAAGCAUCGGCUAACUCCGUGCCAGCAGCCGCGGUAAUACGGAGGAUGCAAGCGUUAUCCGGAAUUAUUGGGCGUAAAGGGUCCGCAGGUGGCUUAUCAAGUUAGCUGUUAAAGGCCGGGGCUUAACUCCGGACGAGCAGUUAAAACUGGUAGGCUAGAGUACGGUAGGGGUAGAGGGAAUUCCUAGUGUAGCGGUGAAAUGCGUAGAUAUUAGGAAGAACACCAGUGGCGAAGGCGCUCUACUGGGCCUGUACUGACACUGAGGGACGAAAGCUAGGG